GGGGCCGUAGCUCAGUUGGGAGAGCGCCUGGUUUGCAACCAGGAGGUAGCGGGUUCGAGACCCGUCGGCUCCA
RNAcentral lists this transfer RNA (73 nucleotides) under Phycisphaerales bacterium. RNAcentral's name for it is "tRNA-Ala". It matches the Rfam family "tRNA". From Rfam's summary of the family: Transfer RNA (tRNA) molecules are approximately 80 nucleotides in length. Their secondary structure includes four short double-helical elements and three loops (D, anti-codon, and T loops). Further hydrogen bonds mediate the characteristic L-shaped molecular structure. tRNAs have two regions of fundamental functional importance: the anti-codon, which is responsible for specific mRNA codon recognition, and the 3' end, to which the tRNAs corresponding amino acid is attached (by aminoacyl-tRNA synthetases). tRNAs cope with the degeneracy of the genetic code in two manners: having more than one tRNA (with a specific anti-codon) for a particular amino acid; and 'wobble' base-pairing, i.e. permitting non-standard base-pairing at the 3rd anti-codon position. Lineage: Bacteria; Pseudomonadati; Planctomycetota; Phycisphaerae; Phycisphaerales. The record is from RNAcentral.